RNAcentral lists this ribosomal RNA (460 nucleotides) under uncultured bacterium. RNAcentral describes it as "partial 16S ribosomal RNA". It matches the Rfam family "Bacterial small subunit ribosomal RNA", at positions 338 to 795 of the family's 1533-position model. The record is from RNAcentral.
CCUACGGGAGGCAGCAGUGAGGAAUAUUGGUCAAUGGACGAGAGUCUGAACCAGCCAAGUAGCGUGAAGGAUGACUGCCCUAUGGGUUGUAAACUUCUUUUAUAUGGGAAUAAAAUGUUCCACGUGUGGGAUUUUGUAUGUACCAUAUGAAUAAGGAUCGGCUAACUCCGUGCCAGCAGCCGCGAUAAUACGGAGGAUCCGAGCGUUAUCCGGAUUUAUUGGGUUUAAAGGGAGCGUAGGUGGAUUGUUAAGUCAGUUGUGAAAGUUUGCGGCUCAACCGUAAAAUUGCAGUUGAAACUGGCAGUCUUGAGUACAGUAGAGGUGGGCGGAAUUCGUGGUGUAGCGGUGAAAUGCUUAGAUAUCACGAAGAACUCCGAUUGCGAAGGCAGUUCACUGGACUGCAACUGACACUGAGGCUCGAAAGUGUGGGUAUCAAACAGGAUUAGAUACUCCUGUAGUC